This 288-nucleotide ribosomal RNA is filed under the name uncultured bacterium. RNAcentral's name for it is "partial 16S ribosomal RNA". It matches the Rfam family "Bacterial small subunit ribosomal RNA", at positions 335 to 638 of the family's 1533-position model. The record is from RNAcentral.
UUCCCUACGGGAGGCAGCAGUGGGGAAUAUUGGGCAAUGGGCGCAAGCCUGACCCAGCAACGCCGCGUGAAGGAAGAAGGCUUUCGGGUUGUAAACUUCUUUUCUCAGGGACGAAGAAAGUGACGGUACCUGAGGAAUAAGCCACGGCUAACUACGUGCCAGCAGCCGCGGUAAUACGUAGGUGGCAAGCGUUAUCCGGAUUUAUUGGGUUUAAAGGGUGCGCAGGCGGCACGGCAAGCCGGCGGUCAAAUCGCGGGGCUCAACCCCGCCCAGCCGUCGGCACUGCCG